Molecule: non-coding RNA, 45 nt
Filed under: Schistosoma haematobium
Lineage: Eukaryota; Metazoa; Platyhelminthes; Trematoda; Strigeidida; Schistosomatidae
Source: RNAcentral
AUCUAUUUGAUGAGUCCCAUGUAGGACGAAAUGCGCGUCCUGGAU